Molecule: non-coding RNA, 291 nt
Organism: Pelobates cultripes (western spadefoot toad)
Lineage: Eukaryota; Metazoa; Chordata; Amphibia; Anura; Pelobatidae
Source: the annotation of a GenBank genome assembly
CUUAAAGGACCACUAUAGUGCCAGGAAAACAUACUCGUUUUCCUGGCACUAUAGUGCCCUGAGGGUGCCCCCACCCUCAGGGAUCCCCUCCCGCCCGGCUCUGGAAAGGGGAAAAGGGGUUAAACUUACCUUUUUCCAGCACUGGGUGGAGAGCUCUCCUCAUCCGAUCCUCCUCCGUUCCUCCUCCUGGGCUGAAUGCGCACGCGCGGCAAGAGCUGCGCGCACAUUCAGCCGGUCACAUAGGAAAGCAUUCAUAAUGCUUUCCUAUGGACGCUGGCGUGCUCUCACUGG